AAAUUAGAGCAUUGUCUAAAGUAAUUUUUGAAUCUUUUCCAUGCUUCCAGAUAGCUUUCGAGGUCUCUUUGCUUGAAAGUAUAGACUUCAUUUUUAAUAU
RNAcentral lists this small nucleolar RNA (100 nucleotides) under Olea europaea subsp. europaea. RNAcentral describes it as "Plant small nucleolar RNA R71". It matches the Rfam family "Plant small nucleolar RNA R71". Rfam says of the family: R71 is a member of the C/D box family of snoRNAs containing the C (UGAUGA) and D (CUGA) box motifs. Lineage: Eukaryota; Viridiplantae; Streptophyta; Magnoliopsida; Lamiales; Oleaceae. The record is from Rfam by way of RNAcentral.